RNAcentral lists this long non-coding RNA (243 nucleotides) under Hordeum vulgare. Its description in RNAcentral is "long non-coding RNA (HVUL_LNC008623)". The record is from RNAcentral. Lineage: Eukaryota; Viridiplantae; Streptophyta; Magnoliopsida; Poales; Poaceae.
GCGAGGCAGAGGCGGAGGCCGUCGCGGCGGGAGGAGCGGCAGCAUCGGCUAGGGCCGGCGCUGCGGAUGAGCCGGCGGCGGCGGGUAGGGCAGCGAAAGACGACAUCGUAACCUAAUCUGAUACCAUGUUAAACAAUGUGUUUGGGGAACUGCUCGACACCCUAAACGUGGGUGCGGCUAUCUCAUUAUAUAGAGGUACCAAGAGGUACAGUACAAGUCAUAUACAGUUAUAUACAGACACGC